CGGCAACAGCUCAAAUUUGAAAUCUGGCCCUCUCAGGGUCCGAGUUGUAUUCUGGAGAAGUGUUUUCUGUGCUGGACCGUGUACAAGUCCCUUGGAACAGGGCCGUCGUAGAGGGUGAGAAUCCCGUCUUUGACACGGACCCCCGGCACUGUGGGAUGCGCUCUCGAA
This 168-nucleotide ribosomal RNA is filed under the name Hydnodontaceae sp. RNAcentral describes it as "partial large subunit ribosomal RNA". It matches the Rfam family "Eukaryotic large subunit ribosomal RNA", at positions 99 to 261 of the family's 3401-position model. The record is from RNAcentral. Lineage: Eukaryota; Fungi; Basidiomycota; Agaricomycetes; Trechisporales; Hydnodontaceae.